Molecule: ribosomal RNA, 483 nt
Filed under: uncultured bacterium
Lineage: Bacteria
Description: partial 16S ribosomal RNA
Rfam family: Bacterial small subunit ribosomal RNA
Source: RNAcentral
GACGAACGCUGGCGGCGUGCUUAACACAUGCAAGUCGAACGCUGAAGCUCAGCUUUUGUUGGGUGGAUGAGUGGCGAACGGGUGAGUAACACGUGAGUAACCUGCCUCCUUCUUUGGGAUGACGCCCGGAAACGGGUGCUAAUACUGGAUAUUCACUGGUCUUCGCAUGGGGGUUGGUGGAAAGGGUUUUUCUGGUGGGGGAUGGGCUCGCGGCCUAUCAGCUUGUUGGUGGGGUGAUGGCCUACCAAGGCUUUGACGGGUAGCCGGCCUGAGAGGGUGACCGGGCACAUUGGGACGGAGAUACGGCCCAGACUCCUACGGGAGGCAGCAGUGGGGAAUAUUGCACAAUGGGCGCAAGCCUUAUGCAGCGACGCCGCGUGAGGGAUGGAGGCCUUCGGGUUGUGAACCUCUUUCGCUCAUGGUCAAGCCGCAACAAUGGUUGUGGUGAGGGUAGUGGGUAAAGAAGCGCCGGCUAACUACGUG